AGCAUACCCUCCGGGGUGGAUGGGUACACUGUGGAGACCGCGCUGCUAAAGCGGAGGAAGGAGUGGGCAACGGUAGGUCAGUAUGCCCCGAAUCUCCCGGGCUACACGCGGGCUACAAUGGUUGGUACAAUGGGCAUCUACCCCGAAAGGGGAAGGAAAUCUCUUAAAGCCAAUCGUAGUUCGGAUUGAGGGCUGCAACUCGCCCUCAUGAAGCUGGAAUCCGUAGUAAUCGCGUUUCAACAGAACGCGGUGAAUACGUCCCUGCUCCUU
Molecule: ribosomal RNA, 270 nt
Filed under: uncultured Methanosaeta sp.
Lineage: Archaea; Methanobacteriati; Methanobacteriota; Methanomicrobia; Methanotrichales; Methanotrichaceae
Description: partial 16S ribosomal RNA
Rfam family: Archaeal small subunit ribosomal RNA
Source: RNAcentral